This 238-nucleotide long non-coding RNA is filed under the name Gossypium raimondii (Peruvian cotton). RNAcentral's name for it is "long non-coding RNA (GRAI_LNC001322)". The record is from RNAcentral. Lineage: Eukaryota; Viridiplantae; Streptophyta; Magnoliopsida; Malvales; Malvaceae.
AUUUUUUUGCGGGAAUAAUUUUUUUAUAUUCAAUUACAGUUCCACAAAUAUGUAUGUAAAAUUUCAGAUCAAUCGGACAACGUUUACCCACCCAAAUGAAUUUUUUUUGAACAAUUUUUCUGGGUAAAACUGCUGUUUGUGCUUUAAAAAAUAGAGAUCAGUUUAGAAAUCAACCAAGAACACCCAAAACGCCCAAAAUCUGAUACCAAAUGAUACGGGGUGGCGCGCGGACCAAGAU